UACGGAGGGGGCGAGCGUUAUUCGGAAUUAUUGGGCGUAAAGGGCGCGUAGGCGGCCAGCGCAAGUCAGUUGUGAAAUCUCCGGGCUUAACUCGGAAAGGUCAACUGAUACUGCGCGGCUAGAGUGCAGAAGGGGCAACUGGAAUUCUCGGUGUAGCGGUGAAAUGCGUAGAUAUCGAGAGGAACACCUGCGGCGAAGGCGGGUUGCUGGGCUGACACUGACGCUGAUGCGCGAAAGCCAGGGGAGCGAACGGG
Molecule: ribosomal RNA, 254 nt
Filed under: uncultured bacterium
Lineage: Bacteria
Description: partial 16S ribosomal RNA
Rfam family: Bacterial small subunit ribosomal RNA
Source: RNAcentral